CGGAGGAAAAGAAACCAACAGGGAUUGCCUUAGUAACGGCGAGUGAAGCGGCAACAGCUCAAAUUUGAAAGCUGGCUCCUUUGGAGUCCGCGUUGUAAUUUGUAGAGGAUGAUUCGGCAAGGGCUCCCGCCUAAGUCUCCUGGAACGGAGCGUCAUAGAGGGUGAGAAUCCCGUAUGCGGUGGGCUGCCUAAGCCAUGUGAAUCUCCUUCGACGAGUCGAGUUGUUUGGGAAUGCAGCUCUAAAUGGGAGGUAAAUUUCUUCUAAAGCUAAAUACCGGCCAGAGACCGAUAGCGCACAAGUAGAGUGAUCGAAAGAUGAAAAGCACUUUGGAAAGAGAGUUAAAAAGUACGUGAAAUUGUUGAAAGGGAAGCGCUUGCAGCCAGACUUGUCCGCAGUUGCUCAGCCGGUCUCCUGACCGGUGUACUCUUCUGCGGCCAGGCCAGCAUCAGUUCGGGCGGUCGGAUAAAGACCUCGGGAAUGUAGCUCCUCUCGGGGAGUGUUAUAGCCCGGGGUGGAAUGCGGCCAGCCUGGACUGAGGAUCUCGCUUCGGCUAGGAUGCUGGCGUAAUGGCUGUAAGCGGCCCGUCUUGAAACACGGACCAAGGAGUCUAACAUCUAUGCGAGUGUUUGGGUGUCAAACCCAUGCGCGUAAUGAAAGUGAACGGAGGUGGGAACCCUCACGGGUGCACCAUCGACCGAUCCUGAUGUCUUCGGAUGGAUUUGAGUAAGAGCAUAGCUGUUGGGACCCGAAAGAUGGUGAACUAUGCCUGAAUAGGGUGAAGCCAGAGGAAACUCUGGUGGAGGCUCGCAGCGGUUCUGACGUGCAAAUCGAUCGUCAAAUUUGGGUAUAGGGGCGAAAGACUAAUCGAACCAUCUAGUA
RNAcentral lists this ribosomal RNA (880 nucleotides) under Botryosphaeria dothidea. RNAcentral's name for it is "partial large subunit ribosomal RNA". It matches the Rfam family "Eukaryotic large subunit ribosomal RNA", at positions 51 to 949 of the family's 3401-position model. The record is from RNAcentral. Lineage: Eukaryota; Fungi; Ascomycota; Dothideomycetes; Botryosphaeriales; Botryosphaeriaceae.